This 34624-nucleotide long non-coding RNA is filed under the name Malus domestica (apple). Its description in RNAcentral is "long non-coding RNA (MDOM_LNC002188)". Lineage: Eukaryota; Viridiplantae; Streptophyta; Magnoliopsida; Rosales; Rosaceae. The record is from RNAcentral.
GAACACAUCGAGGUACAUGAUAAACAAAAUAUGUUCUUGUUUAAGUAGAAACCGAUCAUCCACACAUGGAUGACAACUAGAUAGCAAACUAGAUAUUAAACUAGAAAUUAACAGACCAUUAUUGUUCAUAGUGUGCAUCACGCAAUGCACAUAAGUUAACCAGCAUAAGUUAUAACGCCAUCCAUGAUCUUACCAACCACCUCUUUCGAAUCCUUGAGCUUUUUGAUGCUCUUGUUGAGCUUCUCACGCUUGACUGCAGUUGAUGGAGAUUCCUCCAGCAUCUUUUCAAUCCCACAGCCGUGAUUAGGUCCGACUAGCUCUCCCACAAUCUCCAUCUCCAUGUCCUUGUUCACAAGGUUAGCAACGUUCAACUGCAAAUGCAAAGCCAUACUGUCAACCAGCCUUCUCAGAACAACCUUCCAAUAGGCAGUCAUCCGGAUUUUCAAGUCGUAAGCCUGAGAUAGAUCAACACUUUUAUACUUCCUCAGGCCUUCAACUUCAACCUCCCCAAUACCCCCUAUAACUAUCUUGGAAGGACGUUUCUCGUCGUUCAAACCGUCUAGGAAGGCAUUCUGCUUGGUCAUAAGCCUACUACAUUCAGCUGCAUAUUCAGGAUUACAAGUGUAAUCAGUGUGUUUCUCCAUUUCCACAAUCUCCAAGAUCCAGUUGAUUGACUUUUCUUUCAUCUUUGCUAUGAGAUUAUGGCCAGCUCUUCUGGUGGCCAAAUGGAGAUGAUAAUAGUCUUGUGUAUUAUGCAUUAGCACAGCAAGAACCACAUCCUCAAUAUAACUCCACACCUGCUCAACAAACCUGAUGGGUAUAUCUGAAAUCCCUCUCACUUUUCCCUGCAAAAUGGAAAGAAAAGCGUUGCGCGGAAGAAAAUUAGGAAGAGUGAUACCUUUAGCUUCCUCCAAAAUCCUAAUCUCCUCAGUCAAGAAAUUAACUGUUGGGUCACUUUCAUUGCACUUAAGAAGUUCAUCCGAGUACUGAUUGAGCAUCUCAACCAGCCUAGCGGGUGCAAUGCAUGCGCUUGUCACCCGGGGUAUUCGUCAAAUUCUCCUCUCACAAGAAAUUUUCCUGAGGGAUUCUUUGGAUACUCCAAUGAUUUGCAUGAAAGCAGUGAUAGCCUCAGCAUCGGAGGAUAGACUCUUUGGCAUUUUCUUGAGCUCUGAAAUGCAAGAGUUGAGCUUGUCAUUGAUCUUCUUAACGAUAUCCGGCAAGUUCCUGGCUAUGCUAGCAGCUUGAAUUUGCACCAACUUGUCAGCCAAAACAUGAAUUCCCACCAUAGACUUAUCAAUCUUUGAAAGAAGAGGAUGAGUUCGAAACAGUUUGUCGGCAUUUGCCCUUGCCUCCUCGUACGUUUCAUCUCCGAUCCGGUUCCGCACGCAGACAUAACCUAGACCAAUGUUGACAUCAUCAGCUGUAACCUUCUCAAGUAACCCUUCUGGUGCUUUAUCAACCUUGGUGACUACAGCAAGAGUCCUCUCACCGGUUUUAUCAGCAGUCUGUGACAUCUGAAUCGACUCACAAGUAGGAAAAUCAACAGUAGCAGACAACACAUUUAGUAUGAUGCACUCUUCUGGUUUUAUAUACUCCUUGAUCAUAUUUUUAAUUUGAUCACAAAUAUCUUCAGGCUGGCCAUUGAUUGGAACCCUAGUGAUUCCAGGGAGAUCAACCAUGGUCAAAUCAGGCACGCCCUUCUUUUUCACAAGCAAAGUCAAUGGGGUAUCUGAAAUACCCUUACCUUCACCAGCAAUCAAAUUAGUGGCAUUGACAAUGUCUUCAGAAAUGUUGUCCUCGUCAGUGUGCUCCACUCUGCGAUUGUACUGCAAGGAGAGCUCCGGUUCACGACUGGAAUGGUGUUGAAGCCUCAUUACGAGAGGCACCCUGGUGCAGAUACCGUGUCCACGUGGCAGGCUGAUGCCGGCGAGGGACUCGAGGACGCUAGAUUUGCCGGACGACUGGUCUCCGACGACAACAAUGGUGGGGAGCUGUAUACCUUCCUCCAUAACCAUGAGGUUACGCAGCUUGUCAACUGCAUCGAGCAGCGGACGGAUUUUGUCGUUGUAGGAUGACACGAUAGGCGCGUCCUCAACGACGCUGAGCGGUACAGCAUGUUCUGCUCCAACAACGAGUGCUGCUGAUGAACCUUCAUCUUUGAAAGUGGUUGUGGUUGAUGAAGAUGAUGAGGUGGUGGUUUUUGAACCAAGUUUUGUUUGCUUCCUAUUUCCUUCCAUGUCCGAUGAUGGUAUGAGGGUAAGAAAGAAAGAGUGGUUGUUGACGAAGAGACAAUGAAGAGUACUGUAUAUAUAAUGAAGACCAAAACUGGAGACAGGCUUGUGGUGAAAAAGAUGAAGUCUAUUUUAUUCCUUCACAAGCAAAACGCCAAACCUGUAGAUUUCCAAGUAUCUAUAUAAAUGGUACAUCACGUGUUUCUAUAUAAAUUGUGGGUUAUGUGUAUUAAAAUGUUAAUAACUUAAAAAUUAAAAUUUUUCAACAUUUGCAUAAAAACACGUGUUAUAUCAUCUGUAUUCUGGUCAUAACUAAAAAUUUUCCAACAAACACAAUGAUUCGAAAUUGCUUUUUUUUUUUUUAAGAUCAACUAUGUCGAAAAAUCAAAUAUAUUAAAAGCUAGCCCUUUAUCUCAUAUUGUCAAAAUUUAAUAUUUAAUUUAAUAAUAUGGUUCCUUUAUAUGUUAAUUAUCAGUUAAAUUACUACACAAUUUUAAAUUUAGUUGAGUUUCAACAUAUUGGAUCUAUAAAACAUGAUUUAGAAAAUAAACGUUUAUUUUUAUUGUAUAAUGCUGUAAGAUGAGAAUAGAUUCAAAAAAAAAUGCUGUAAGAUGAGAAUAGAUUCAAAAAAAAAGUUCAAAUAAGCAUUUUGCUAAAGUUAAUUUAUUCCGUCACAUGCAUAACCCCAAACCUCUGGAUUUCCAAAUAUUUAGUUGAAGCGAUAGAAGCAGACCCUUCGAUAGCCAAUUGUGCUGAUGGGAUGUCCACAGUACAUAGUACACUAGAUAUUAUCACAGUAUUGGAUGUGUCAAGAAAUAAGAGGAUGUUACUGAUUUUCUAACUUUUUAGGCUUUUAUUUUCAAUUCCGGAUUCUCGCCGAAUUUUAUUUUGAGAAUUUUAGAAAUUCGUAAAUCGUAUUUGGUAAUUAUAUAUCGGUUAGAAAUUAUUUAAAAUAUUUUUAUUUAAAAUAAAACAUAAAUAAUAUCUGAUAAAAACUGAUUAUACGAUAUUCAAUGAACGAACACGAAUCACAAAUUAUCAGAAUUCUCACCAAAAGAAUCCGAAAAGAAUCAUGUUGAUUUAUUUUCAUUUUCAAAUGUUAUGAUUCGAACGAUGACUUUUUUAAAGAUUAACUAUGUCAAAAAAUCAAACAAUAAAAUGAGAAAGAUUAUCUUGACAAAACAAAAAUAAAUGAGAAAGAUUAUUUAAAAAGUAAAUUGUUCUUAUUAUUAUACAACGUUGCAAGAUCAAAAGGAAAAUUGAAAAAAAAUAAAUAAAUAUAUUUUAAUCCUUAAACAAGAUGAAGUUUAGAAAAAUGUUUUAUACAAGAUUAAAAAUUGAUUUUUAGUCUCUAGACUCUAUUUAAUGUCAGUAUAUGUAUUUAAUGUCUCUUAUUUAUUUAUAAUUUUAUGGUGUUCAUAAAUAAGAUUUUAAGAUUAUAUUAUAAAUUUUAGGGGCACUUUGGAUGCGGUCCUUAGCUAUCAAUAUUCUUUGAUUGAAACCUUGUUAGUUUUUAGUUUUUGAUUGAAGUCCCUGACAUUAAUGUAAUAAUGUAAGUUACUAUAUUUUUUAAAUUAAAAAUUAAAAAUUGAAAUUUGUAAUUGUUUAUAUUAAUGAGAUUUUAAAUAAAACCCAUAAUUUUAUGGGAUUAAAAAUAAUAAAAUAUAAAUUAUACUCUCUAUUAUAUUGUGUGUGUGUGUGUGUACAUAUAUGUAUGGGUACAUUAACCAAAAUUAACAAAAAAGUUAUUGUACCAAAACAUGGAUACAUUCUCAAAUCAACGAAAAAAAAUGUACCCAUAUAAGUUUAAACAUGGAUUAAAAAAUUUGAAAGGAUUUUAUAUUAAAAAAAGGGUACAUUUUACAUAUAACAAUUUCAUAUAUUUGAGAAUGGGUACAUUUAAGAUUAAAAAAAUUGAAAAAUUAUAUGAAUGGGUACAUUUAAGAUUAAAAAAUUGAGAAUCUUUUUAUAUAUAAAAAAAAACUAAUAGGUACAAACUUAAUUUAAUUUAAUUUUUUAUUAUUUUGGAAAUGUUUGAAUUGAAAAUUAAUUAGAAGUUUAAUAGAGGUGUGAGUAUUAAACCCUAAAUUAAUUACUAAUUUUUAUAUUAAAAAAUUAUAUAAUAAACAUGUAAAUUCAUUAUUACAUUAAUGCUAGGGACUUGAAUCAAAAUUUGAGAACUAAUAAGGUCUUAGUCAAUGAAUAGUAAGAACUAGGGGACCGGAUACUAAUUUUUCCUAAAUUUUAAUUCUCAUUAUAGUAAGUAUAUUAUUGAUAGGAUUUUUACUACUCAUGUGAACGGGCUUAAAUUUCCUAUUUUACUUGCAAGAAUCACAAGGUUAUUGUAGUAUAAACGGAUUUCGCAAGGUCAUCUCCACAUGGACUAUUAAAUCAUUCGAAACUAAUCAGAUUCCAUUUAAUUACUGUAAAGUAGAAGUUUAGGUGAUUGAUUUUAUAACCUAAUUAAAAUAAAAACGAAAUUAAUGAAUUAAAAUAAACAAUCUGCAAUAUUAGAGCUGUCACAGCCCGUCCCGGAAUUUUAAUUCCGAGGACGUGAAAUUACAGAAAUACCCUUAAACGGGAUUAAGGUGUGUAAUUGUAUGACAUUUGUUUUACUUUAAGAUCCUAAACUAUGGUUAGAAUUAUUUUAUUGUAUGUGUUAAUAUUAUAUGGGUUAAGGUAGGGCCUUAUACCCUGAAAUCCUUCCCCAAAACCCGUUUUGUUGUCUCUCUCUCAUCUCCUUAGUCACUCUCUCUCUUAUUCUAUCAUUUCAGACUCUCUCUCUUACUCUCGAACUCACUCGAACUCACGGCAAACACCAAGCAUAACCACAAUCCUACACCAACGUCCAAUCUAAGAUCACCAUCGUGAUCUUGGGAACUUCACAAGCACGGGGGUAUAAGUUUCAGGUGAGUUUCACUUCGGGAAACCCUAGUUUUUAAAGCCCCGUGAUUUUGUACUGUUCACAACUUAAAUAUGGUUAUGUUUUAGGUUAAAACAAGAUCACCACGAGUCUUAGGAAGUUCCAAGGAGGCUCGGAGUGCCUCGUUUGAACAAAAUGGACGUCGGGAUCGUUGGGUUCGAGUUUGGCCGAAUUUGAGGAAUUUUGGAAGGUAUGAUCUUGUUGUUUUUAGACCUUAAAACCCUUCCAACGUGAUAGUAGGUGUUAAAUGAUUCAUUUUGGUAUAAAUUACGUGAAAAAUGGACGAAAAAUGAAGAAGAAUAGUGAAAUUGAAAUUUUUCCCAGUUUUCCGGUGACCGGAGUCCGGCGAGGGACCGUCGGAGAAGACAAUGGAAUAUUCCGUUAACUUUAACGGAAUAUUCCUAACGCCGUUACCGUUACCGUUGGGUUUUAACGGAAUAUUCCGAGAAUAUUCCUAACGGCAGUUACUGUGCCGUCAGUGUGCCAAGCACGUGGGCCGCGCGUGGGGGCGCGUAGGGCAGUGCCACGUCAGGCGCGUGGGGGCGCGUGAGACCUCCAAAAAUUAUUUUAAAAAUAUGGGGAUGAUCCUGAGGUUGUGUAGGUCACUGUGGUAUAUUCAUAUACCCAAUUUGGGCAUCGUAUGAAGAAUUAAUUGUCUAGUUUGGUUUAGGUGCGUUAAAUGUGCGUUAAAUGAUUGUUUUAAGUUAUUUCACUUAUAGGUGGGUCAUAUAACGAGGACGAGCACAUCCAGGGGCGUCAAGGGGGUUACGACCCGGCGACAUACCAGUGAGUGUGCAUUGUUUUCUAUAUAUAUACCUAUAUACUCGAUUUCCCCAGAAAUCAAAUCUAAAUGAAAAGUAUAUUGAAAUGAAAUGAAAUAUGAUGUGAUUGCCAUGCAUAGAAUGUUAUGGAUAUUAUGAACUGUCGUAUGAUGCAUAUAUGUAUGAUGGUGCUGUGGACGCACAGGUAAGUAUUUAAUUAAUAUUAUGAUGAUGAUGACAUAUACUGAGCUCAUAUCCUGCACCAUGGUUUAGUGCUUAUAGUAUUCACCGCAUCGCACGCUCGUCUUGGAUCCAAGUAGAUGCUGGUCGCACAGUCCACGCGGAGUGGGUGCGACGGGCCAGUCUUAGAGUGUUAGUGAGAUUAUGACUGGUGGGUGACCUUAGAUUAUUGUAUACAGAUGAUUGAUGAGAGAAGCACUAGAGCGAAUAUUACCAUGAGUCGUUCAGACUACAUUAGGUGGUUCCGACUUAUGUGCAGAAGGUCGGACAGGUCACAGAGGUGACUCCGGCAGAGUGAGAUUGAUAGAUGUUGAGCUCUAGGUUCAAUCGUUCAGGGCUAUUAGAGGGCCUCCGAUUGAUUGUUUCUUUUACCUGAUUUAUAUCAUGUCAAUGCAUUCAUAAACUGUUGAAAUUGGCAUGGUACAUUCUUAUUGAAUCUGUUAUAAGAUUGAUGAUCGAGAUGUUGAGAUAUAUAUGCUAUAUACUAUUUUUCUGGGAAAGUAUACAGGUUUUCCAAAAAGGGGUUAUAAAUGUGGAUUUAUGAAAUGAUUUGGAAAAAGCUUGAUUUUCGCCCACUCACGUUUUCUGUUUUUCGCCCCUCCAGGUUCUAGUUGAUAGUUGAGGUGUUGGUGGCCUACGAGGACUACUUCGUGUUUCUGACAGAAUAAAUAAAUGUAGGACUCACCUGAGGGUGUUGUAAAAUAGCUAUGUUCCUACUUGACUGCACCUAGAUGCUUAUGCUCUGUUUACGUGUGUUUAGUACACUUUUAUGCACAUAGAAUGCUAAGUUGUUAAUAACUGUAUAAUUAGUGGUUUUCGUUGACUCGUAUUUUGUUAUAUAAUCGUUUCCGCUUGCGUUUAUGGUUACGUCACGCUCACGUGACGGCCAGCACGUCCUAGUCUUCGGGUUAAGGGUGUGUCAAGAGCUAGAGAGAAGAAAACAGUUUUGGGAGUAAAAUUAAGAAAGCACUAGGAUUCUACCAUCACCUAGCAAUCCUAUGAAUUUUUACCAAUUACUUAUGAUCUACACAUGCCACUUUGAAGGUUAGAUUUUCCUAAUUCAUAUUCUACUUGGAACCUCCAACAUAGAACGUAUAUCUAACAUACAACCCGUCCGGACGUUCGGAUCAAAUCUGAACAUGAAAGACUCAUUAUGCUUUAUGAAAAUCCUUUGAAAAACCAUGCAAUCCUUAAGACGUGAUAUUCAUCCUAAGUGAAAUUACAAUUAUUAAUCACAAGAAGCCAGCGUCAAUUUUAGGGAACCUUCUGACUAAAAUUGCAUCAAAUUAUUUUUCUAAAUAUCCUAAUGCUGAUCAAGCAUUAAGACAAUUAGAUAGUUUUUAUCCCGGUGAUUAACAAUUCAAAGUAUGCAUGCAAUCAAUCAUAAACAAUUAAAUAAAAAUCACAUAUUCAUGCUAAGGCUCAAGGCUUCGCCCUAGCAAAAAAAAAUUAGUUCUGCAUAUUCAUAAUUGAAAUCAUAGAAAAUAUAUUCAAGAAAAGGAUUGAAAGUACCUCCAAGUAAAAAGUCUCCAAAACCCUAACAAUUCUCUCUGUCUCCAAAAUUGCUUAAAAGAAGCGUAAAGAAAAAUGGUAGACGGCCAAGCAAUAUAUCUGCUAAGCCUCCACACAAACCCUAAAAACUAAAAUUAAUAAUCCAAUAAAUUAGGAAACAUAACCCUAAAUUAAAUGGUAAAAUUUGCCUAAAAUCUGAACAGCCAUGUUUUGGACCCAUAAGCUGCUCCAAAACUGGCCCAAUAUAGCUGGAUUUAAUGUUUAGAAUAUUCUGAACACUUUUCCAGAAGGCCACGAACCCAUCCGAGGUCAUCUUGGGCUCCAAAAACGUAAUUUAAGCCCAAAAACGUCAUUUUUCAGCACUGCGCACUGCUUCUUUAUUUCAUUGCCAGAAAAUAACCGCUAGGUGGAAAAAUCACAAAUUUUGAUACGAUCAAGCUAAGUGACUCACGAAUGUCCUCCAACUGGAAUUACUCCAAAAUUCGUCCAUUUGGUCCUGUUUUGCUUCAGAGGAAGUCGAAAGUCCUAUAUUGAAAAUACAAUUCAAAGUAUCAAAAUUCUUCCAAAAUAUUAACCAAAAUAUACUAAGAUUAGGGUAAAAUAUAUAAUAUAAAAUCUACUCAUCAAAAUACCCCCAAACUUAGCUUUUUGCUUGUCCUCAAGCAAAACAAGACUCAAACAAAAAUAAAAACUUAACAAACUAGACAACUAGCUAAAAUUAACUGACAAAAAUUUGACCUUCAAAGUUGCAAUCCAUAGCAAAUUUUAAAAACUAGAACAUUUUUUCAAAAGUUCCAACCAAUCCCACCACAGAGUCUAAACCAUUUAGAACAAUUAGAAAAGAAUUCACAAACUUCCUUUGGUGUAAAGUGAACCACAUAAUUAAGGAGACUCGACUAAAACCCUUACCUCUCGUCCUUCUUUAUUUCACACAUACUAACUUUAAAUAUAACUAUUUUUCUUUUUCUUUUUCUUUUCAAUUUUUUUUCUGGCUCUUUUUUUUUUUUUUUUUUCAGUAACAGUAGUGGUCGUGCAAUGUCGGUUCACUUAAGCUUUCAAUCCAAUCCAUGUAGCGAGCUUUAGGUCAAUGAUUCCCAAACCACUAGGGCUUUAGGGCACUAAGUGUAGAACACUCCUAAGGACUUAUUAACCCGAGCUGAAAAGGCUACGAAACCAAUUAACCACCCUGCCCCAUGCCAAAAUUCUACCGUUUGACGCGAGAAUCACUGCUGAUUAGGCAGGACUGGCCCGGUUACUAGGCAAAACCUCGGGUGAGACAAUUAUUACUUUUUUCACAAUAAUAACUGACUUUACUUAAAACAAAAAUUAAAAAUAAACUUAGACUAAAAGCAAGUGUUUCAAUCUCACUCCCCACAAACCAUGUUGGUAUGAUGUGCAAAGUUCAAAGUAUAAUUCAUGAAUUAGUGUCUAAGUAACGAUAAAUAGCAAAGACUCUAAUGUGGGAUUAAUCUUCACCAUGUCCAUUUGUUCUAACGUUUAAAAUAAUCUAUGGAUAUUAACUUAACAAGAAUGAAAAUUUUAAACUGACACAAUAAUAAAAAAACUAAAAUUUACUUUCCCACCCCCAAACUUAUUUCACACUUUGUCCUCAAAGUGUGAAAAAAAAAAUGUAGCAACAACCUUACAAAGAAAAUUAAAUAUUACAAAGGACACUAACUAAACCUAUGAAUAAUUAACAAAAAGAGGACAAAAACGGCAUGACAAGGAACAUAAUAAAAAACAUUAAAAAAAAAUUUGAAAAGAAAAAACCUGAGAGAAGUGGACUCCAUUGUGGCAUGCAAUUUGAAAAGUGGCAUGCUUUGAACAAUAAGCCAUGAUGGAGGGCAGCCAAUAAAUUGUUUUUUUUUUGAAUCUACGGGCCACUUGCUGCACGCAAUGCCCUUUUGAUAUAAACAUUGGAUUCCCUUUAAAGAAAGGCAUGCAGCUGGCAUCAGUCGUCUAUCUCUGUCAAUCAUCAAACACAGAGGCCAAACGGCUCUCUCCCCUCUCUUCAAACCAUGUCCUAGGGAGCAUAAAAACUGAGGAUGCACCCACUUGUCAUGCAUCAGGCAAGGGAUCUCCAUAGGAUUCGAAUGGAACGAUUAAGAUCAACCUUACUUUUCUGAAGGCUUUGUAAACAGCAAGUCUCUCACAUUUCAAUAGAGACUGAAAGAAGUCUUUCAUUUAUCUAGGCCCACAUUUCAAUGCAUCCUUAUUAUUCUCCAUGACAGCCAAUAUAUUGAUUAAAUUGGACAUCGGCACCUGGAAUUUAAUAACCCCCAAGUUCCUUCAUCUAUCAAUAAGAUAGGAUAGAGAAAAUAACUACUUUAGACUACAAUGCCCUGAGAGGUCAGCUCAAUUCAGUUAUGCUUUCUACAACUACUAAACUCAACUGGUGCCCAUAUAACUAACAUACAGUUCUGUCAAGGUAAAUCAUACUGCUCAAGUCUUGUGAAACACAAGAAAUCCAAUCAAGACACAAACUGAUAAACAAUCUAAAGAAUUAAAGCCUUAAAUUUUUUUUUUGUCAAAGGAUAGCAUAAAUUAAAGACGAAUCAAAAGGUUUACAUCUUUAGCAAGGGCAUUAAACAAAAACUCUGGGCCAAUACAAUCCCAGAUAAAGUCACGACCUUCCUUGAACACGUGCUUAGCCACCAAGUGAGCAGCAUGAUUGCUCUCCCUAGGCACAAACGCGAACGUCACCGACGUCAACAUUUGCGCUAGGAUCUCAAUAUCGCCAAAAACACAAUCCAAAUUACAGUCGAUCGUCACUUCCUUUUUGAUCAUUUGAAUAAUCAGCUUAGCAUCAGAUUCAAUAACAACAUGUUUGAAUCUAUGGGUAAUACAAGCCUUCAACGCAUUACGUAUCGCGAUUGCUUCGGCCGCCGCUGCGCUAAGGCAACGCACAGUACCCAUUCCACCCGCAGCUUGGAGCACCCCAGCAAAAUCACGCCCCACCCAACCCACACCAGCACGGAGGGUUACCUUGCACCAGGCCGCGUCCGUGUUGAUCUUGAUGGUCCCGUACCUAGGUCUCUGCCAGUGAAGGCUGAGACGGGCAGUAGCAGGGAGGGGGUGGCAUCCAAGUUCCACGCAUCAUCUCCCAAACUGGUUGAAGCCUCCCUAAAUUCAAUAAUGUUCUUCCACCAUAAAUCCAUAACAUCUAGGGGCUGUCGAUACAGCCCUUUAAAGACAACAUCAUUCCUGUUUUUCCAUAGUCUCCAUAAUCCAAAAGCAAAUUCUUGACAUAUCUCCUCUGCAUUUUCCUUACCUUUCAUGCCCUCAUGGAACUUUCCCCAACUAUCGAGAAAGUCAAAGCCUUCCAGUUCGUGGGAAUUCAGGUGAAGAGGAGAGCAGAACCAGAAAAUAUGACUGAACCUGCAUCGGAAAAAUAUGUGAUUCUCAAUUUCAUCCACCGCAUUACACACUCCGCAGACAUUGUCAACCCUCAUGUGACGUCUCUGGAUAUUUCUCCGCACAGCCAAAGCAUUGUUGCAACAACGCCAAAUAAAGAGCUUGAUUUUAUUAGGGACCUGUAGGCGCCAAAUCCUGGACCAAAUCUUGUUUAGCUGCAUCGGCUCACUAGAGGCACCUAGCCCCUUCUUUCCCAAAGCUCCAUUUUCCAUCAAUUCCAUAGCGAUCCCACAUCCGGAUUUCACGGAAUAAACCCCAUUCACAGAGUGGUGCCACAUCAAUCUGUCUUCACAGCCAAAAUGACUUAGCGGAAUACUAAGAAUAGUAUCUGCAUCCUCACGUUGAAAACCUGCAAAAAUGAUGUUAGCCUUCCAAGAAUUUGAACCCGGAUCGAUUAAAUCACAAACCAUAGUGGCAUCCAGGUUUUCUGAAGGACAAACUCUGAAGGUAGAGGGUUUAGGGAACCAAGGGUCAUCUCGGAUAUUUAUACAUUUUCCGUUCCCGACCCUCCAUCUAAUCCCCUUCAGCAGGACCUUCCGGGCCUCAUAAAUACCUUUCCAUCCCCAGGAAGUGAGCUUCCCUCUCCCAGCUUCUUUAAAGGAACACCCAGGAUGGUAUUUGUCUUUCAGUACUGUAGCUAGCAGGGACGUCGGAUUGCAAGUCAAUCUCCAUCCAAUUUUAGCUAGCAUUGCCAAGUUGAAACACUGAAUGUCCUUAAAACCCAGGCCUCCUGACAUCUUCCAUUUCGAUAUCCUAUCCCAGGACACCCAAUGAAUACCGUGGCGUUGAUCGUUACCUUUCCACCAAUACUUCCGAAUGGCUUUCUCAAUGUCCCUGCACACUUCAAUAGGGAGCUUAAAACAACUCAUGGCAUAAUUUGGUAAAGCCAUGGCCACGCUUUUGAUUAAAACUUCCUUACCAGCUUGGGAUAAGUAUUGUUCAGUCCAUCCAGCCAACUGGGCUUCCACCUUAUCGCGAACCUCCGCAAAGAUAGCUUUUUUUUAGUGACCAAAAUCUGCCUGCAGCCCUAAAUACUUCCCAAAACCCUGCUUACUUUGGAUCCCCAACGUUCCCUCAAUUUCCCUCUUUGUGCGGUUAGGGGUUUUAGGGCUGAAGAACACCGAACUCUUGGUUAAGUUAACUUCUUGACCAGAUCCGCAAGCAUAAACCUUCAGAGCUUCAGCAACCGCACGCGCAUCAUCCACUGUGGCGUUGCCGAAAACAACUGAAUCAUCAGCAAAGAAAAGAUGGGUAAGCGGGGUUCCCGUGGCCGUGACCUUGAAGCCGUGGAGAGCACCAAGUUCAAGCCCUUUCCUGAGUAUCACCGAGAGGCCUUCAGUGCACAAGAGAAAUAAAAAGGGGGAGAAGGGAUCACCCUGUCUCAAACCUCGCUGCGGCACGAUGAACCCGGUCGGGGUUCCAUUAACCACAAUGCUGAAAGAUACAGUGGAGAUACAUGCCUUAAUCCACUUGCAAAAUAGGGGCGCGAACCCCAACUUGGACAUAAUGGAGGUAAGGAAGUUCCACUCGACCCGAUCAUAGGCUUUAGCCAUAUCAAGUUUGAUAGCCAUACCAGCCUGGUCCUCCCUCUUUUGAUGAAGCAAUGAGUGAAGGACUUCGUGAACCACAAGAAUAUUAUCCUGAAUUUGUUUACCAGCAACGAAGGCAGACUGAUUAUCCCCAAUCACUUUAGACAUCACCCCUUUUAACCUGUUGGUGAGAACCUUAGCAAGAAUCUUAUAAAUUACGUUACACAGGGCAAUGGGUCUAUAUUGCGCCAUAUUCUUUGGGCAUCUGACUUUUGGGAUGAGAACCAAAUUAGUAUGGUUUAGCUUUCGCAACAGAGUACCGGAAUGCCAAAAGGCUUUAAUGAUCUUAACCACAUCCUCUCCCACAGUAUUCCAAUGGUCUUGAUAGAAGCAACCAGAGAAUCCAUCCGGUCCCGGAGCCCGAGAAGGAGGAAUUUGAGAGACCACCAAUAUGAUUUCAGCGGUAGUCACCGGGCCAGUCAGUGCAUUGUUAUCCUCAGGUGUGAUCCUGGCUUCAACAUUUCUCACAAUAUCAUCGAUUUGAUUCGAUCUAGAAGAUUGAAACAAGUCAGUAAAAUAGACAACAGCCGUGUCGGCAAUCACCUUGUCCUCCUCGUGCCACACCCCUUGGGAGUCUUCAAUCCAUCGAAUCUGAUUUAGCCUCCUUCUUUUUAGCGUCUGAGCAUGAAAAAACUUGGUGUUCUUAUCCCCCUCAUUAAGCCAUUGAUUCCUAGACUUAGUUUUCCAGUAGCGCUCUUCGUCCUUAUGGGCUGCCCUGAGAUCUUUCUCUUUUUGCUUAACCGCCUCAGAGGAGAAAUCCUUAGACUGAAGCGCCACUCUGAUCUCAGCUUUUAAAAGUUCAACCUUCUUUUUAGAGUUCCUGCCAGUUUCUUUAUACCAGAGCUUAAGACUUUUCCUGAGCGUUUUAAUUUUCUCACAGAACCGGUAAGCAUGGGAUCCACUGGUCUUAUCUUUCCACUCCCCCACCACAAGCUCACGACACUCCUUCGAUUUACUCCAACGACCAUCAAAGGAAAAUUUCCUACCUCUCCAGGCCCGAAACUUUUCCGUAGAUAGCAGCAGCAUAGCAUGGUCCGAACCUUCAAGGUCAACAUGUCUGAUAAUAGUAUCAGGAAAAAGGUCGUGCUACCCAUGAGUAACAAGGCCGCGGUCAAGCCUCUGCUGAAUGGGAAGAGACUCCCUGUUAUUUCGCCACGUGAAGGGGUAUCCUUCAUACCCCAGAUCCAUGAGGUCGUUACCUGCCACAAAGCCUCGGAAAUCUCUCAUACUAGCCGCACCUCUGAAGUUCCCGCCUUCCUUUUCUUCAUUACACAAAAUAUCAUUAAAGUCUCCCAAAAUAAGGCAUAUAUCAUUGUCUUUCUCAAUCCGUUUACUCAGGGACACCCAUUGGAUUCGUCUGUUCCUCUCAUCAGUGCUUGCAUAAAUGGCAAACAGACGCCAGAAGCAAUUGAAGGAUUCAUCCCAGAGCUUUAUCUCAAUCAUAAAUUCCUCAGAGUUCAUAAGAAUAACCUGAACUUCAUCCUUCCAGAACACACAAAGACCACCUCCAAUUCCUCGUGGUUCAACCGCAAAUAGAUGCUCCAUUUUAAGUCUCUUUUUCAAGUGAACAUAGUUUUUACUGUUGUUCUUUGUUUCAAGCAGAAUCACUAUGUCAGGGGUGUGGAGCCGAUAUUGCUCCAUCAGGUUGUCAACUGUCAGGUCACCCCCAAUACCCUGACAGUUCCAUGCGAUUAUCUUCAUGGAGUCGUAGGGGACCCCUUUCGGCUGGUCCCCUCCGCCUCAGCAUCAGGACAAUUCCUGAUUUUGGAUCUUUUUGGCUCCGCACCCUUCUCCAUAGUGCUGUACUCCACUUCCUGAAAGGGUCUUUUUUUCCUCUUUGAAUCUUUCAUUACCGCCUCAAUAAUGGGCACUAGCUCAAAGGGGUCAUCCUCCAUGUCUCUAACUUCUCCAGUGUGUGUCACCUCUCUUUUCUGCCCCUCACAACUCACCUCAAUGUUGUUCUCUGCAGCAUUAUAGUCCUCCACUACAAGUGGCUCACUGUUUAAGUCAAAACUCUGCCCCCGUUCUGCUGACAAGCAUGGAUCAUUCAGCUGUGCUUCCAUUUCAGGGGGUUUAUGAAGGAUAAUGUGAGUAGCAGUAUCUGCAAUUACCCCUCCAGGGCCAAUUAGCCCUGCAUCAAAGGCUGUUUCUCUGGCCUGUCGUGCAUUCUCCUCUUCUAUCCGUUGGUUACGUAUCUUUUCAGCCAGCAUUUUUCCGCCUCUUUCAAUUUUGCUUGAUGACCAACGAGGUUUACUAGGUGAGGUAGCAGUAUCAUUCUCCUCCUCGUUUCCCUGAUCAGUGUACUCACUCCCGCUUUGUGGGGUGUGCCCUCCGUAUUAUGAGCGACUUCCCAUGCCGGAGGCCAUUGAAGAUCGGUCAGAUCGCUUACCAUCGUCUUGCUCAUCAUGUCUCUUACUUUUCCAACUGCCCGUCUCAACCCCUCCACCAUUUGACCCACGAGAUCCCUUACUUCUGAUCCCCGAUCCUAAAUGGUUCCCUCGUAAGUCGAUAACAACAUCUAGACCUUUGAAACCUAACCCAUCAUUUAAAUCCCCAGAGCCCUCUCCUUUCACCCCCUCCUCCCGUGUAUCGGUGCAUGCUCUUGUUGUAUGGCCCAGCAUCCCACACAUUAGACAGUAUUUCGUUAGCGCCUCAUAUCGGAAGUCAACCCAGAUCCUUCCAUCAUCAGGGAAGUCUACAAAGGUACCACGCAUAAGAGGUUCCCGGACAUUAAAUCGGAUUUUGACUCGGAGAAAUCUCCCAAUGCAAUCCCGACUUCCGGACUUAUCCACCUUUCGAACCGUACCCAUCAGACCCCCAAUAGAUUCCGCCACAGCUUGGGUCAUAUUUAGAACCGGAACAUUGUGAACUUGAACCCAGAAUGUGCCAAGGUGUAACGGAGUCCAUCUAUUUAGCCCUUUAGCAGAUCGGUCCGCCGUCAUAACCAAAUCCCCUUUGAAGAACCAAGGUUGGUCAGCUUCAACGAUCCUUAGCAAAUCCUGUUGACUCGCAAAACGUGCUAAGAACCUGUUUUCUCCAAUAUCCCUAAUGGAGACCCCUUCCCGUCCUCGCCAUAGUGACAUAAAGCAAUCAAUGAACACUUCCCCAUUCACCACCUUAGAGGUGAGAACCUCGGCAAUCAUGGUGUAUUGGAGGCCCAAUAAAGCACCUUCAACAUCUUUCCUUUCGAUACAAAUGCCUCCGCGCUCUUUCUCUGACAAUCUGAGUUUGGAUCUGAAUCCUGCCCCCAGGUCUUCCACAUCGCUCUUAGGUUCAUCCCUUGCCAUGCCCGUCGCCCACUGCUCCACCAGGAACGGGAUCCUAGAUCUGCACAGCCAGGCAGUGAUGACGCCUCCGAACCACGAACUCCGAUAGAUCUCCCAAACACACCCGGAAUUACCCACUAUAACCUUAUAUAUCUAUCCAAUCUAUAGAUCUAUAACAGGGAAGCCGCAAAUUUAGAGAUUCCUUACCAGAAGGCAGAGGGAUUCUCAGAUUCCACCAUGUAGGAGCCCACCAUUCAAAACCCAGGAACCCUCCUCGCAGGGCACCCUUCUUUCAUGAACACCGCUUCGCGCUCCUAUACCCUCUCCGCAACCCGUUUUCCACAACCCUAGCCGCCCUCUCGGUUUCCUACUUUGCCCUUUCCUUCUCACCUACCGGACAGAAGCACCAAGAACCCUAGACUAUCUCCGACUCAAAGGUAGCGAAGAUCCCCCUAGGCCGCCGCUCAAUCGUACCGAAAGCCUCAUUUCGAGGCACCCACCUUACCCCUUAGCCAUCAAAACAUUGAAACUACCCUUGAAUUAAAGCCUUAAAUGGAUGCAUCAUCUUGCAACAAAGCAAAGGUAAGAAAUUGCAAUCCCCAAAAGCAUUUCAAUAUUAAACACAAGAAAUCCAAUCAAGACACAAACUGAUAAACAAUCUAAAGAAUUAAAGCCUUGAAUGGAUGCAUCAUCUUGCAACAAAGCAAAAGUAAGAAAUUGCAAUCCCCAAAAGCAUUUCAAUAUUAAACACAAGAAAUCCAAUCAAGACACAAACUGAUAAACAAUCUAAAGAAUUAAAGCCUUAAAUGGAUGUAUCAUCUUGCAACAAAGCAAAAGUAAGAAAUUGCAAUCCCCAAAAGCAAUUCAAGUCAUCAACAGAUGAAGAGAAACUAUUCAAAGAAGUUAGAGGCGAUAAUAUGGAAAAAGCUCAAGAAAUAACAAUUAGAAGAAAUUUAAGUUGAAAAAACGUAUUUCACCAUUAGCUCUCCUCGAACUCCAGCUUCUUCAACAGCUUCCCUUGCGGCUGCCUCCUCAACAGUUUCAUCAUUCUCCCAGCCUCCCUGCAUGUGAAUAACAUAUUCUUAAAUUAAAUAGUAACUUAUUAUAAGUUCUCUACUUCCCGCACACCCGAAGAAGCACAUAAUCACUUUGAGAGAUAAUUUAGCCUUCCAAAUCAGAAGAGAGAUGAAACAAUGAAAUAGAUUGAUUAUGACAUAGGAUCGGCAAGAGAAUGUCCCAGUUGACUCCAACUUCCACCUCCUACUGUCUGGUCUAGAUGAGUGUAAUAUACCAUUUUCUAAAAGUCCCUUCAACCAAUUAUCCACUACAACAAGAGAAAUAAGUGAUGCCUUGAGAAUGUAUUUCCUUGGGAGAUGACUCUAGCCACUCACUAUUUUGGACUUCCAGCCAUUAACAUAAAUUGAAUAUUUUGUUUCUGAUCAUAGGCUCAUAGAAUUCCAUCUGAAAUCCCUUUCCAAAGGGAAACUCCAAAGUAGUUCCUUGUUUAGUUUACUCAUAUUUAAAUUACCCACCACUAGUGUAAAACUCACUAGUUUAUGCACACUUUCUUUGGAUAUCAUAAAUAAAAAGAGCAAAAAACAGAGGAAGCCAAAGCACAUGAGAUUGUAAUGUAUAACCCUAUAAGUAUGUACAACAUAAAUAUUUUACAAGUCAACAAAGAAGUCACCACAUUUAACUCAUCAAACAAAAAGUUACAUUUUCAUAAGGAUUUGACGUGAUCAUGGAGUGCCGGCUGUCGACUACCUGACGCCCUCCCCCUCCUCCAUGCUUAUGAGCUGCACCUUGCUCUCCUUUUAUAGCCAAAGAAAAGCUUCUUAAAGACAUCAAUGGCCAAAGGCCUAACAUCAAGUCAAAAAAGAGUUAGGCACAAAUUAGGCACAAAUUAGGCACAAAUGUUGUUUGCCUCCCAUUACCACAAAGUAGCCCAAAGAUUUGGACUUUGACUACAUGUUUGAGUCAAUAAUCAACAAUCUCCACCUUGACUCAAACCCUUUAAGUAGAACUCCUAAUAGUCGUCUCCCAAUCCCCCAUGGGGCAAUCAACAAAUUUUACAAAUGCCAAUCAAGUCUAAGCAGUGCUUAAACUUGUGCAAUGAAACUGGCUUUGUUAACAUAUCCGCAUGAUUGUCAGCAGUCCCAAUCUUCUGAAGAAGAAUAUCUCCCUCGUCAAUAACCUCACGAACAAAAUGGAACCUCACGUCAAUGUGUUUCGUACGUGCAUGAUGAACUUGAUUCUUUGCUAAAUGAAUAGCACUCUGACUGUCGCAAUGAACAUCCACAUGGUCUUGUUGAACCCCUAAGUCAUCAAGCAACCCUUGAAGCCAGAUGGCUUCCUUUAUAGCUUCUGUCAUAGCCAUGUAUUCUGCCUCAGUAGUCGACAAAGCAACUGUAGAUUGCAGAAUCGACCUCCAACUUACUGGACCUCCAGCAAUAGAGAAUACAAAACCAGUAGUGGACCUACGCUUGUCCAAAUCACCUGCGUAAUCAGAAUCCACAUAUCCAACACAUUGACCAGUAAUUUUAUCCUGCUGGAACAAUAAACCAACAUCCACAGUACCCAGAAUAUACCGUAGAAUCCAUUUCACAGCUUGCCAAUGCCCUUUUCCUGGAUUAUGCAUAUAUCUACUGACAAUACUAACAGCUUGUGAAAUAUCAGGCCUAGUACACACCAUAGCAUACAUCAAACUACCAACAACAUUUGCAUAAGGAAUUUGAGCCAUGUACUAACUCUCUUCAACAGUUUUAGGAGACAUAGAAGCGCUAAGUUUGAAAUGAGAGGCAAGAGGUGUACUAACCGGUUUUGAAUUUUCAUUCAUCCUGAAACGUUGUAGUACCUUCUUCAAAUACUGCUUCUGACACAGACUAAUCUUGCCCUUCGCUCUAUCUCUUUCAAUUUCCAUACCUAGUAUCUUCCGAGCUUCUCCCAAGUCCUUCAUCUCAAAUUCAUUACUUAGUUGAGUCUUCAACCUUGUAAUCUCCACUUUGCUCUUACAUGCUAUAAGCAUAUCAUCAACAUAUAAAAGCAGAUAAAUGAAGGUUCCAUCUUGUAGUUUGCGAAAGUAUACACAAUGGUCAUAGUGACUUCUUGUGUACUCCUGCCCGAUCAUAAAUCGAUCAAAUCGCUUGUACCAUUGUCUUGGAGACUGCUUCAAGCCAUACAAUGAUUUUUCCAAUUUGCAAACCCAAUUUUCCUUUCCAGCAACCUUAAAACCUUCUGGCUGAGACAUAUAAAUCUCUUCCUCCAAAUCACCAUGUAAGAACGCAGUCUUGACAUCAAGUUGGGCCAACUCAAGGUCAAACUGCACAACCAAAGCCAACAAAAUACGAAUAGAAGAAUGUUUUACUACAGGAGAAAAUACCUCAUUGUAGUCAAUGCCUUCCUUCUGCGCGUAGCCUUUAGCUACCAAUCUGGCUUUGAAUCUUACAUUGUCUUUUCCCAAAGAUUCCAUCUUUUUGGCAUACACCCAUUUACAACCAAUUGCUUUCUUCCCCUUUGGUAACUGAACCAGCUUCCAAGUCUUAUUUUUAUGAAGAGAUUUCAUCUCCUCAUCCAUAGAUUUCUUCCACAACUCGCACUCUGAACUCACGACAGCUUCUUUGUAGGCGGAUGGAAUAUCAUCUUCAAUAACGGGAAGUGCAUAUGCCACAAUAUCAGUAAAUCGAGCAGGCUUUCGGAUUUCCCUUCUCGAUCUUCUGGUUGCAAUAUAGUCUUGUUGCUGUGGAAGCUCUUGGGUAGGUGCCUCCUCUUCAUCAUCUUCGUCCUCAUCAUCAGAAUUAACUGUAGGACUAGUGUUUGAAACAUCAGACCUUACUGGAACAACUGGAGUCUUCAGUAACUCCACCUGCUUUGAGCUCCUCAUGGUUUUGGUCGCUUCAGUUUCGCCUUCAUGCUUGUUCUUAUUAACCAUAGCAGCCUCAUCAAAAGUCACAUCUCUGCUUACAACAAAUUUCUUCUCAUCUGGACACCAAAGUCGGUAUCCCUUCACGCCAGUGCUAAAGCCCAUAAAUAGAGCUUUCUUUGCUCUUGGAUCCAACUUGCCUUCUCUGACAUGAUAGUAAGCUGGACAACCAAAUAUGUGUAAAAACUUGUAAUCAGUACAAGGUUUACCAGACCAUACCUCCAUGGGCGUUUUGCCCUCGUUCGCAACAGCUGGCAAUCGAUUAAUGAGAUGGCUUGCAUAAGUAAUUGCCUCAGCCCAAAAUGCCUUGCCUAAUCCAGCAUUAGACAAACAUACACCGAACUUUCUCAAGUAAAGUACGGUUCAUGCGCUCCGCCACCCCAUUCUGUUGCGGUGUCUCCCUAACCGUGAAGUGCCUCACAAUACCCUCAUCUUGACAAACUUUCAAGAAAGGAUCAGACUUAUAUUCACCCCCAUUGUCUGAUCUGAGAGUCUUGAUCUUUCGACCGCUUUGCGUUUCAAUCAUCUUUUUCCACUUCAGGAAUAUCUUCAAGACUUCAUCUUUACGCUUCAUGGUGUACACCCAUAUUCUUCUAGAGAAGUCAUCAACAAAGGAGACAAAAUAAUGGCUACCUCCCCAAGAUGCAUUCUUGGAAGGUCCCCAAACAUCAGUGUGAACAUAAUCAAGAAUGCCUUUAGUGUGUGGUGAAUAGCAGUGCCAAAUUUUACUCUAGUUUGCUUACCCAACACACAAUGCUCACAGAAUUCCAAUUUGCAUGCCUUUGCACCUUUCAAUAAGCCUUGCUUCACCAAUCCUUGCAACGCUUUUUCACCAGCAUGCCCAAGACGCAUAUGCCAUAACCUCGUGGUGUCUGUGCUAUCUGCGUCAGCAGCUUCGGUGACAGCUGCUCCACCAAUAACUGUACUCCCCUGCAAGAAAUACAAGUUAUUUCGUCUUGUACCUUUCAUCACCACCAGUGCCCCGUACACAGCUUUAAGAACUCCACCCUCCAUGGUGAUCUUGAGACCCUUGGAUUCCAAUGCACCCAGUGAGAUGAGAUUUUUCUUCAUAUCCGGUACAUACCGAACAUCACUUAAUUCUCUGACUGUUCCAUCAUGCAUCUUCAAAUAGAUUUUGCCUAUCCCUUGUGUUUUGCAGGCAUUAUUAUUACCCAUCAAAACAACUCCACCAUCCAGCUCCUCGAAAUUAGAAAACCAUUCCCGAAUGGGACACAUAUGAUAGGUGCAACCUGAAUCCAAAAUCCACUCAUUUGAGUGACCAUCAGCAUAUGAACUAGCCAAAGCAAACUCGAAAUCAUCAUCUCCAGAUUUUGCAAUAUUUGCUUCAGAACCCGCUUUCUCCUUCUCUUUGUUCUUCAAUUUGGGGCAGUCUUUCUUCUAAUGCCCCUUUUGGCGACAAAAAGCACAUUCAUCUUUAGCAGGAAACUUCCCUCGUGACUUUGAACGAGAUUUUCCCCGCUUCCCAGAUUUUCUUUCCUCUGUUCGACCCCUUGCAACAAAUGCCUCGGUUUGUGAAUUGUGAGUCUUCAGUUCCUUCUUACGACACUCAUGAUUCACCAAUGCCGCAGACACCUCAUCAAGUUUCACCUCGGAUUUUCCAUACAACAGAGUAGUUGUCAAAUGAUCAUAAUCAUCAGGCAAUGAAUUUAACAAACAUAGUGCCUUGUCCUCGUCAGGAAUUUUCACAUCAAGGUUUGCUAAAUCAGCAAGUAUUUUAUUAUAAUCAUUGAGGUGUUCGUGCAUAGAGAUACCUGGACGAUACUGAAAUCGGAAGAGUCGCUUCUUCAAGAAGAGACGAUUUUCUGCGCUCUUGGUCAUAUACUUCUCCUCCAAUUUCGUCCAUAACUCCUUAGCAGAAGUUUCCUUCAUAUACGGGUAUUUCAACUCCUUAUCAAGGAACGAUCGAAUAGCAGCACAAGCAUGAAGAUUAAUUCGCGUCCACUGCUUGUCAUCAAUAUCUUCUGGUUUAUCUUCCAGAACCAUAUCCAACUCUUGUUGAUACAACACAUCCAUAACUUCACAUUGCCACAUACCAAAAUUAUUAGAGCCAUUGAAUUUAUCAACCUCUAACCUUGUAGUAGUAGUUGGAUGUCUAUUGGAUGUAGACGAAGACGAUGCUGACCCCCUCUUUACAGAUUCAUCUUUAUCUCCAGCCAUCUACUCGGCACUGUUCACAAAUACUGCACUGUUCACAGGUACAAUACUGUUCAUAGAUACUGUAGCAGUUCACUGUUCACGGAACUGUAGCGCCAACACUAUUCACGAAACUGGGCUCUGGUACCACUUGUUGUGCGGAAGCGGCAUUCGACUGUAAGUGAAUAGUAAGACAGAACAGAAUAAAACAACAUCAACAAGAACACCAAGAUUUAUACUGGUUCGGCAAUGCCUACAUCCAGUUUGGAGACGACGGAGUAUUCCACUAUAAUCAAUGAGAACAUACAAUAGUGUUUAUCACUCAAUUUCCCAAAGACCCAAAUAACCCAAGCUCUCACACUUACAAUAGGAAGAGAAAACCAAAAAUACAAAGCAAGACAAUUUGAGAAAAUUCUUCUCUAUGCCGAAUGACUUCUUGCUAUUUUUCUCUCUUCCUUGUUCUCCUCUUGUCUCUACUCCAUGCUUAUGAGCUGCACCUUGCUCUCCUUUUAUAGCCAAAGAAAAGCUUCUUAAAGACAUCAAUGGCCAAAGGCCUAACAUCAAGUCAAAAAAGAGUUAGGCACAAAUUAGGCACAAAUGUUGUUUGCCUCCCAUUACCACAAAGUAGCCCAAAGAUUUGGACUUUGACUACAUGUUUGAGUCAAUAAUCAACAAUCAUCACUAAAACAAUAUCUUUUAUGAACUCAACUAUUAAUUGGCGAUUAUAAGGAACCAGUUUACUCUAUUUUUCAUCAUGAAAGAAAAUCAUGCUGAGAAACAAACUAAAGCAGAAGGAAAAAAAAGUCUGACAGUGUUAAUAUUAGUUCAAAUGCUAAGAGGGCACUAUAAUCAGAUUCAUAACAAAAGCAUACGUAUCUACAUUUGCAUAUCUAGGGCAAGUGAAAACAACAAUUCUGUUCCCAACCUUGCAAAUGUCAAAACGUAUUUGAGACGACACGUCUAUGGGCAUCAUAAUUGACUGAAUCAUGGACUAAAAAAAUAUCCAAUGAACUAAUCGAUCAUAUCUAUAAAGGACUACUACUCAAAAGUUUUGUAUUUUCUGCAAAAUUAAAUUCAUGACAUAAUUGGUUAUAAAAUUAAAAGGCCUCAUUCCAAUUCAAAACAAAGUAGGCUACUUCCAGUCUAGCAUCAUCAAUAAGCAGAAGACUGGCUUAAGCCAACAAAUGUUCCUUCUCCUUUUAAUCCAGACCUAUUCACACAGUUUCUGUAGAGCCAUUGAAAUAAUCCACCCCACUAGCAGGUAAUAAGAGAGAAUAUCAAGCAACUGGGGUAACUGGGAUUUAGGCUUUACAGCCUACAGAAAAUUUCUAAUAUUUUCUGCUCUAGGUUUUCAAAGCCCAGAGUCAUGAUAUGGUACUUAAAUGUAUCUAUAGGUAUCAAAAGAAAAGAAAUUAGUUUGAAGGUUUAAUACCUAAAUGUUUCCCAGAUAAAGCAAUCCUAUCAACUUAAUUUGAUCUUGAUCCCUAUCCCACAAGCAUAAGUUACUUUGAAACUAACAUUUAGCACAACUUGAACUAAUUUUUACUGUUGACCUGUUAGUGAGGCGUCAGAACAAAAAUACAAUAGUAAUCUACUAAAAAAGGGUAUUCAGAAAAAAAAAGGUCAGGAAGAAAGACCACACAACUGUAAACAUUUUUUAACUCCAGCAGAAAAUAUACAUACCUUUGGAAACAAAAGACCUGGUCCACUAGGUGAGUAUUCUCAAUGAUCUUCUCAGAAUUGGCCUCAUCGGUCUCAUCAGAAUUUUUGUAUCUAAAUGGAAUACACCUGUCAAGGUCAUCUCAGUUAGCUACUUCAUAUCAGAAAAAAUAAAAAAUUAAAACUUGUUCACAUACAUAAAAUUUAACAGUAAGUAAUCUCAAAUCUAGUUAAAGAUGAGUAAUAGAAAAACGAGAAUCUUAUGCAUAUAGAUAGAAAUGUCUGCAUGGUCGCUCAGCCCUGGCAAAUAAUUUAUUGUAUAACCAAUAACCAUACUGCCAAGCUCACACUUUAUAAGUCUGAUUGACAGGUUAUAUCAACAUUUUAAUCUACACGUCAUUUGGUUUUGGUGUAUGGGGAAAAUAAAUUAUAUAGUGAUUCUUGUCCAAAAAAAAAAAAAAAAAAAAAAAAGAAGAGAAGAAGAAGAAGAAAGACAAACAUUUAUUAGUGAAACUUCAAAUCAGAAUAAAAUAAGCCAUCUUUAAUCAAAAUUUAUUGAUGACUACAAAACUGGUAUUAAGGAAAAUUAAAUACUGAUUACAAAAUAUAUUCAACCAAAGACCAGAAAAGGGAAAUUCAUUCGCCAGCAUGUCACACUGGCCCUAAACACAGCAUAAUACAGAGGGCCACCAACCUAGACAACUCUGCCAACCCAAAAUGCAGACAUGAGACAUAAUGCAAUUCAUACGCUAUCUGCCAAUUUGUGCUACCACACAAUGAUGACUAGUCACAUGAAAAUUGAUAAGCUCCUCAUUUUUAACACAGAGGAAACCAAAACGUCACAUUCAUCUAGUGCAUAUAUGAUAUAUCACCCAAAAACCAACACAGCUUAAAUUUGCAAAAAAAUAGCAGCACCUGAUAAAAAAUUCUGAGCAAAAUAUUAUUAAAACGAAGCCCAAAUGGUUGGCUAGAAGCUAGGUGAUCACUCAUAUAUUUCAUGCAUUUAUACCAUCCACUUCUAAAGUCUUUGUGAUGUUUUUGUGUUAAAAUUGUGAUAUUUUACCUUAUCUUGUGUUAAUGUACAGUUAAUUUUAUUUUAGAAUUAAUUUCAAACGGGCUGAAAAGAAAAUAAAAGACACGGAGCAACAAAAAUAAAUGGAACGGAAAGGAAAGCACGGCAUAAAGAAUAAAAUAGGCAGAGGGAGUGGGGAUGGCAGUAAGAAAAAGAAUAAAAAGAAACGGCACAAAGGGCAGACAAGGGAGCAGAAAUAAUGGACUGAUGGAGGAAUAAUCAAAGGAAAAGAAGAAGGGAGUGCGGCACAGCAAAAAGAAAAGAAAUAAAUCAGAGGGAGUGGUUCGAAAGACACGGGCAGACAAAAUGGAGUGGAAGGAAAAGAAAAGAAAACAAAUAUAAGAAAAGGAUGAGGAAAGAGAGAGGGACACGGCAUAAACAAAGAAGAGAGGAUGGCAUACUGACGGAAGGCAGAGCACGUACUGUGCAGAGAAAUAAAAUAAAAGAGGGAGGACAGGAACAGAAAAACAUAUAUAGACACGGGGAGAGAGAGAGACGUAGCAGGGAAAAGGGAUAAAACAGGAGCAGAAAAACAGGAGCAGGGGCGCGCGCAGAAAAAGGAAGAAAAUACAGAAAAUAAAGAGAGGGCGACAGAAGAGAAGGGGAGAGACUAAGAGAAACGAGGGAAAGAAAAAAAAAAUAAAAGAAAUAAGAAAGCAGAGGGCAGCAGAGAGAGAGUCAGACGUGAGAAGAAGUAAGCACAGAGACACAGCGACAGACGAGGGCAGGCACGGCAGGAGAGGCAGAAGGAGAAAAGAAGAGGCUUCAUUCCAUUUUUCUUGGUUUUAUCUUCUCAAACUCAUGUUUAAUUUUUUGUUUAAUUUGAGAAUAAUGUGUAACUAAUUUUUAGUAGUUAGGGGCUGUUUUGAAGUCCCGAAUAUAAUUGUAAGUUUGUUGUGAUAUUUUAUUUGAAUGACUUUUAUGAAAGGAUGAAAAUUAUUUCACUACUUAUGUUAUGGAUAAAUUCUUUAUGUGUUUCUAUGGAUGCAUACAUAGUGAGCAUUUCUAGGAUUUUAAUGCUAUGAAUAUAUGUAUGUCUGCCCUUGUUGAAUGAGGACCUACAUAUGUUCUAGAGUAGCACUUGUUAAUUGUGGUUAACAUGUGAACCGAUUUCUAGGAUAAGUAAGACAACGCCAGUACUUACCAUGCCUUGUGAUGACUCAAACUCUUUUCGUUCUUAAUGAUUUCUACUUGUUAAAUCUAUGAACACGCCAUUCUAGAUUGCAUGCUAGGAACUACGUUAAGUUGAAAACGACAUUCUCUUAACAUACUACGUAAGAAAGAGUAAUAGGUUGUGUUCUAACAUUGAGCCAACUUGAGCAUCUUCAUCCGAAUAAAAGGAAUUUGAAUGAAACAUAACAUGUUUGCAUGAUUAUUUGGUGGUGGAUAACAAUUCCCCUAACUCGUUUUUCUCAAACUUGUGAUCUACUCAAAAUCUGUUUCUGUACUGUUUUUGUACGAUUUAAUUUAAAUAGCAAAUCAACUCCAAAAAUCCCAAAAAUUUGUGUGAGCAUAGCUUGGUGUGUCUAGUUUAUGUGUAUAAAAUUUCGUUGGAUUUGGAUAAGUUUAAGUUAGUCUAAUAAUUAUUGUUCGGUGGCUGGUCAGUGGAGACAGCCACCCCGUUUUUGUGACAUUUUAAGUAUUUGGAUAAAACAAUCUUCUGCGGGAAAGACCAUUAUUUUCAUAUGCUACAAUUGACAAAUCUCAGUGUUAAUAAGGAAAAUUAAUAAGAUUAUUGUGGGCUACUUUGUGGUGCGUUAUAAUUACUACCACUAGGUCCUAAGUUGGGAAUGUAGACACAAACAAUGAAAUAACAUAAGUUCCUUUCCAAUUUUUGUUCACUCAACUCCUUAGCUUAUCGUUGCCCAAAUGAUUGCAUCAAUGAAAACAUUCCCAAAUAAUAUCACCAAGAUAUUGAAUAAAGUCCCAAAAAUUUACAAAUUUGAGGAAGUAUAACCACGCCAUAUCUGUCACUUUCAUAUGUGAUCCAACAAAAUUUCUCAUGAAUAACUUAUAGAUGAAACUCAGGUAAGUCAAUACAAGGUCAUUGUUUGUCCUAAUAAACCCACAUUCUCUACCUGCCUUAUAUAAUAAACAUGAAUAUAUACACACACAAUCAAUAAACAAAAGAAACCAUUAAUCCGACCCUGCUUAAAGAUCCAAAUGAUUGCCAUCAACCAGUCAAAAUCCGAAAAACAAACCACAAAAAACCACUUCACAAGAAAAAUCCUCCAACUUUGGAGACACAUUGGUCCACCUCCACCACUAGAACACCACAUAAACAAACAACAUCAACAUCAACCCAAAUCAAACAACAUCAACAUCAAUCCAAAUCAAACAUAAACAAACGAAUAUAUACACACAUAUAAAGACAACCCUAUAUGUUUGUAUUUAUAAAGCAAUAUAUGUACAGAGAAGAAAUUUAAGUACCCGGCAACAAGGCGACAACCGGCCUCGUAGCGUUGCUGAUGCCGACCCGUACGGGCCACUAUAUCACACAUACUAAGCGCCCAAACCAAAAAAAAUCAAUCCUUUUUCUCUUCUUUUUUGAAAAUCUUCAACAAUUUCUCUCCUCCUCUUCCGCCAUUGAAAUCGUUCUGGUUCUUUAAUUUGGUUUUUUACGCGAUGUCACAAUGCUCACGCCCGCACCGGAUAAAUCUCCCAGCACUGGUUCUCUGGGCUUCGACGGCGGCAACCGGCGCUCCCUCGCAUCAUCCAAUGGCUGUAUAUUUCAGAUUUCGUUCUGUUUUUGUUUUUAGGGUUUGGUUGCAGAGAGAAAGAGAGGGAAAAAUGAGGGCUGGCUUAGGGGAGAGAGAGAGAGAGAGAGAGAAUAAAAUUAUAAAAUAAAUAAAUAAAAGCGGUUAGACCGGAUCGAAUCGGACGGUGAUGGUGGUCAAAGUCACGUGGUCGAUAGAUCAAAUGGGGACCCACUAUUGGGUUUUAUAUGGUACCGUUUGAUACGUGGGACGGGACGGAACGAAGUGGGACGGGACGGAACGGAGUGGGACGAGAAGUUCCGUCCCACGUUUGAUGCUCCUAAAACGGAUGGAACGCACUGUUCCACGGGACGAGUUUUGGAUAAAUUUUCAUUCUACCUCACCCAUUGGAAUGACUUGUUUCACGUCCGUGGAACACAAUAUUAUAACAUUUCCAUCUCCUUCUUCUUCCUCCUUAUUUCCAUCUGAGAGCAUCUUUGCUCCCUCUCCAUUACAUCCCGUCCCGUCCUGUCUGCAUACCAAAUAAUACCUAUAUACAUGCGAUUGGGAUCUGGUGGUUUUUGGAUCUUCUUGACAAAAUGGAGAAAUUUUUCAUUUUGACGGGACACGAGUAGGUACAUCACAUACUUUUAUGUAAAUGAUGAAAAUUUUUAUUUUUUAAGUUAUUAACUUUUUAACACACAAAUCCUACUAUUUGUAUAGUGACAUGUGAUGUACCACCUCGUAUACAGUCACACUGAAAAAACUCUCGACGGAAUGGACUUCCUUGGUGUCGUACUUCCACGUGGCGUGUUGUGGAGCAUUAGCUGGCACUCGGAUUUGGUAUUGGUUACCGGGGGUUGUCAAUUUGGCACAAAGUGGUUGGGCGUUGCAGUGAAUUAGUUAAUCGUUGGAAGAAGAAUCAGCGGAUUAGUGGUUUUAGCUUUAAGGGAACGUUAACUCAUUGAAAAUCUCCAUCUUUAUUUCAUGAUUCACAAGGUUUGCAACAUUCAACUGCAAAUGCAAAGCCAUGGAAUCAACCAACCUUCUCAAAACAACAUUCCAAUACGUAGCUAUCCGCAUGUUUAUGCUUCCUUAGACUUUCAACUUCAACCUUCCCAAUACCACCAACAACUAUCUUAGAGGACGUUUCUCGUUGUCCAAGAUUCUCUCUAUGAAGGCAUUCUGCUUGGUCAUGAGUCUAUUCCAUUCGGAUGCAUAUUCAGGAUUACAAGUGUAAUCUGUAUGUUUCUCCAUUUCCACAAUCUCCAAGAUCCAGUUCAAUGACAUUUCUUUCAUUUUUGCUAUGAGAUUAUGGCCAGCUCUUCGGGUGGCCAACUGAAGAUGAAAGUAGUCUUGCGUGUUACGCAUUAGCACAGAUAGAACCACAUCCUCAAUAUAACUCCACACCUGCAACAAACCUGAUGGGUAUAUCUGAAAUCCCUCUCACUUUUCCCUGCAAAAUGAAAAGAAAGGCGUUGAGCGGUAGAAAAUUGGGAAGAGCAAUACCUUUAGCUUCCUCCAAAAUCCUCAUCUCCUCUAUUAAGAAGUUAACUUUCGGGUCACUUCCGUUGCACACUUAUGAAGUUCAUCUGAGUACUGAUUGAGGAUCUCGACCAACCUAGCAGUGUAAUGCAAAUGCUUGUCAUCAGGGUUCUAGUCAAAUUCUCCUCUAACAAGAAAUUUCAUGUGGGAUUCUUUAGAUAAUCCAAUAAUGUGCAUCAAAACUGUCGUAGCCUCACCAACGGAGGACAAACACCUUGGCAUUUUGUUAAGCUCUGAAAGGUAAGAAUUCAGCUUGUCAUCAAUCUUCUUAACAAUAUCCUGUAAAUUCUUGGAUAUGCUCACUGUUCUAAAAAUUCCCGCCUAGCAUCGCCGCGCUAGGUAGUUGGCUAUCAUCCCGAUUAAUGUCUAGGCGUUUGAAAAUUAAAAAAGAGCUCCUAGACCUGCUAAGGCCCUCCUAGACCGUCUAGACACCCGCCUAGCCCAUCCAGACCCACCUAAGCACCCUCUUAGGUUGAAACUCAUUUAAACAGAAAAUAGAUAGCUCUCAUGCGGAUACAAGCAACCUAGGGUUACUGAUACUGACAAGAAAAAGAAGGGGACACUUUGGACGCGGUCCCUAGUUAUUAAUAUUCUUUGAUUGAAACCUUGUUAGUAUUUAGUUUUUGAUUGAGAUCCCUGACAUUAAUGUAAUAAUGUAAGUCACUAUAGUUUUUAAAUUAAAAACUAAAAAUUGAAAUUUGUAAUUGUUUAUAUUAAUGAAAUUUUAAAUAAAACCCAUAAUUUAUGGGAUUAAAAAUAAUAAAAUAUAAAUUAUACUCUCUAUUAUAUUGUGUAUGUGUGUGUGUAUAUAUGUACACAUAUAUGUAUGGGUACAUUAACCAAAAUUAACAAAAAUAGUUAUUGUACCAAAACAUGGAUACAUUCUCAAAUUAACGAAAAAUAAUGUACCCAUAUAAGUUUAAACAUGGAUUAAAAAAUUUGAAUGGAUUUUAUAUUAAAAAAGGAUACAUUUUACAUAUAACAAAUUGAUAUACUUGAGAAUGGGUACAUUUAAGAUUAAAAAAAUUGAGAAUCUUUUUAUAUAUAAAAAAAAACUAAUAGGUACAAACUUAAUUUAAUUUAAUUUUUUAUUAUUUUGGAAAUGUUUGAAUUGAAAAUUAAUUAGAAGUUUAAUAGAGGUGUGAGUAUUAAACCCUAAAUUAAUUACUAAUUUUUAUAUUAAAAAAAUAUAUAAUAAACAUGUAAAUUCAUUAUUACAUUAAUACUAGGGACUUGAAUCAAAAUUUAAGAACUAAUAAGGUCUUAGUCAAUGAACAGUAAGAACUAAGGACCGGAUACUAAUUUUUCCAAAAAGAAAAGAACUAGGGUUUAUGUUUGAGUUUGUUUUCCUCCACCCAUUUCUGAUGAAAAGCAGGAGUUGCGAAGAGUAAAAUAUUUUCUGAUGAAAAGCAGGAGUUGCGAAGAGUAAAAUAUGAGAGAUGAUGAUAAAUUGAUAUUACAAUACGUUGGCAAAUAUAGCACCCUUUUGGACUUCCACCAUUAACCACACUUUGUUAAUUGAAAUGAAACCAGGAGUCACCUCAAAAAUAAAUACGAUACGCAUCUUUCUAGCAAUGUAAUUGAUAUUGGAUGUGCUUAAUUACUCCAGGAGAAAUAAUAAAGAAUUGUAUUUUUUUUUAUUGAAUUCAGAAUUGUAUUUUUUUUUAUUGAAUUCAGAAUUGUAUUUACUUUGUACUGUUGUACUGGCACUUAGGCUCAAAUAAUCUUUUUCCUUGAAGCACCAGAACUUAUAUUUGAGAUGUAAAAACCAUAUUUCACAAAUUUUCGGUGCAUUAUUCAUGUUUAAUUUACAGGGAAGCAAUUGUUUAAUAAAAUCAAAGUAAUUUUGAAAUGAAAUCAAGUAAGGUUUUAUGGGCCAAGAAAUCCAUUUCUGAUCUUUGGACUUUACCAAACAUGAAAAACUUUCCAAACUCUCUUUUCCACACACUAACAUAGGCUAAAAAAACAUUGACUUGCAAGUUAAGUCAAUAAUCUAAAACAUUUGUAUAAAAAUAUUUUUUGUAAAUAAUGUAACAAAUACAGGCCCUAAACCCUUUUUUGGGCCGAGAAUAAUUCCAUCAGAGAAAUAAGAGACCUUGCAUGUACUUAUAAAUUAUUGGGUUACUCCUUAUUAGGGAUGAGCAACGGUUGUGGCAGGCGGGUAACCACGGUUAUUUACUCAUAACAGUUUAUGUUCAUACCCGCAUAACUGUUUAGCCGUUGGAUAAUUGCCUAAACGGUUAUACUCAUACCCAUAACCGUUUAUAAACGGUUAACCUUACCCAUAACCGCAUACUCAUUUAACUGCAACUGUUUAAUACUUAUUUACCCAUUUACCCUUUUUAACCAGUUUAUCUUUUGUUUUUUUAUUAUUACCCAUUUUUCACCCAUCUACAUGUUUUUAACAACUUGUAAAUAAAUAAAAAUUGUCAUAAUUUUCUUUUUUUUUGACAAUUAAACACCAUUAUAAUUCAUCAUACAUUUCCGUAUUUUAAUUUUUUUAAGUCCUUAUACCAUUCUAAUAAUUGAAAUAAUAGUUUACGGACGAUAUUUUUAACUGUUAUCAAUGAAGGUAAUACUAUUUGUUAAGUAUUCUUGGGUUACGAAAACUAUUUAGAAGAUAGUAUUUUUGGGUUAUUUAACCCAUAAUGUAAAGUAUUAACAUAAUAUAUAUAUAUAUAUAUAUAUAUAUAUCUAAUGAGCUACAUUAUAUUAUAAUUAGCUAUAUAAACCAUGCACUAUAGUUAAUAGCAUUGAUCUAAAUUUUGUCCGAUAGAGAACAUGGUUAGGAGAAGGAUUACACUUGUUGACCAUGAAUCAUGUCUUUUCGGCAACAAUCAAAAGAUGCAACAUUCAAAUGGAAAAGAUGUGAUUGUUGGGUUAAUAACACAACUCCCCAUCCCCUGUCAAACAGCCGCACGCGCGCACACACACACACACAUAUAAAUAUAUAUAUAUAUAUUAUUUUUAUUUUUAAAAUAUUCAACAUUACAUAUAUAAAAUAAAUGGGUAAACGGUUACCUGUUUAUAACCGCGGUUAAUUCCCAUAACCAUCCAUUUAAAUUUCACAAGUAAACGGUUAUACCCAUAACCGUUUAUUUAUCUAAAUGGUUACUCAUAACCGUAACCGUAAAGUUUAAAUUGGCGGGUAACCGCGGUUACCCAUAACUGCGGGUAUUUUGCCCAUCACUACUCCUUAUAUUGUCAUUUGAUUUUAUGGUAGAAUUUCAACUUCUUCAUGGUAUUAAAGCAAGUUGUCCCUCGUUACUUCACUCAAUUUAUUUUGUCCACCUAUUUGGCUUGAAAGUUUGCUCUUGCCCUAGGGGAGGGGGGUGGGUGGGUGCUGGAGUAUCCGUCCAACAUCGGGGAAAUAAGUAACCUUGCACGUGUGUAUAAGUAUUGGGCUACUCCUAUAUUAUCAAUUGAUUUUAAGAUAAAUUAAUAAAAAUAGCUUUAAAACUUUAAAUAUUAACCAAAAGCAUGCAAACAACUUUAUUUAAUAAUUAGGGACAAAACAGCCUAAUAAAUUUGGCCCAAGCAAGUACCCUAUUGAGUUUCCAAAUUUACCCUUGACGACAAGCCUUAUCCCGUUUAAUCUCUCUCUCAUCUUUCUCGAUCUCUCCGCCUAAAUUCUAUUUUCAUUUUUGUUUAUUCAAAUCCAAUUCUCCGUUGAAUUCGACGAAGGUAUCGCAACACAAAACUUUUUAACCCGCAACAAGAUGAUAUCCUUAACCAAAUGUCACCACCGAAAGAGAAACACUAGAUCUAAAUUACCAUCACAUGCUCCUGCAAGUAGAACAAACGAAACAAAUGAUAAGCGAAUGCGGCUAAAGGGGGCAUCUAAGACACCCUUGCUUUGGGCAAAAUCGCAACUCGCUUGACCCCGAUAUUCUGGUAAGCCAGUCGAGUGAGGAUCAAUCAGGGACGUAUUUGGAUAUGGCGACCAGAUCCGGAUUGCCGCUCCUAGUGUUGUGCACACGUUGUGGGAGGGGGGGGUUUUCUAUGUGAAAAAGGUGCCAACGAGGGAGAUGGAAGAAAAGAGUGUUGGCAGUUGAAAAUGGUGGGUUGCAGGAUGGAGGUUAGAUAUUGCUGAAGACAAAAUACGAUUAUAAAUAGUGCCGUUUUCUGGGAUUUUUUAGGCUUGGGGCAAUGUCAAAAAUAUGCCCUAGCUUUAUAUAAGAAAAUUAUUUGUUUUCACAUGUAAAAUUUUGAUAAAAUUAUACUUAGAAAAGUACUUCAAAUAAUAAUUUUAUAAACAUGGAAAAACUAAUUUGUUUUGUACCGAAAGAAUGAAAUAAAAAAAUCCAGGCUUACAAGUAGAUAGACGAUGAGUUUUGUUUUCCUUUUAUCUAAACUUUUAAAGUAUUUUUGUAUAAAUCGUGAUGUGUUUUUUUUAUUUACUAACCUUGUCAAUAUGAGAUCCAAAAAUAAUGAUGUUUUUGAGUCUUUAAUUGAUAUGUAUAAUUAAUGAAUGAGCACUAAAUUAAACUUGUUAAUGACACGUCAUAUGAUUUGUAAAUUUUGUCUAAAUAUUUGGUUUACGCAUUACUCUUUGUUGAAUGUUAGACUUGAAUUGGAACGAAUGUCAUGUAUAUAGCAUUUCGAACUCAUGACCUCUCAUUAAUUUUAAUCAACAAAAACCUUUUAUUCUUAUUAAACUUCUUGAUCAUUUAGCUAAAUUUUGUAAAUUUAAAUAAACUCUCAUGAAAAUAAAUUUGUAAAGGUUAGAAAAGUAAAAAAUAAAUAUAAUGUUUUGAAUCCAAGACAUUCUCGUUAAUUUUUAAACAUAAACCACAAAAUUGCAAAAAUUGGAGAAUUGUAAACAACUCGAUUUAAUUUGCCCAAAUUCUAGUAGUUGGAUUUUGCUUAUCAGUCUCAUUAAGUCGUACUAGAUCUUUCAUGUUAGCGGUCCAUGAAGACUUCCUCCAACUCUGCUCGCAAGGAGUUGGAAGUCGUGCGUUAUAUUGAUUUCUUAGAAGUUUUAGAGCAAAAUAGAGUAUCAACUAACUUCUGGUCUACUGGUACUUUGUUGAUAUGUGAAAUAUAGAGGACUUGAACCGCGUAUCAAACCUUCCCAUACGAUAAGAAAAAAAAAAGAUUUUUUAUUGGCUUUUAAGCCAAAAUAAUCACUGACAUUAAUAUAAUUUUUUUUGUCUCUAAAUUUAAAUUAUUUUACUCUUUCAGUACAAAAUCAUUUUGGUUAUUCUGCUAUACUAGAUUCCAUAUAGCUCAUCAAUUGAAGUAAAGAUUUGAAGCAACUCAGAAAGGUUUUAACUAAGAGGACAAAAAUAUGUUGUAAGUGAAUAGUACCUAAAUGAUUUUUUAGAGUAAAAAUAUCAUUUUCGUUAAAAAUAAACAUUACCGAAAAAGUUUCGUUAAAACUUCCGAGAAACAAAGAUAAACAUCCAUGUAGAUUAUAAGCAAACUGCACUGUUAAUUAAGUAGGAACAUAUCAUACACGGGAACACAUCGAGGUAAACAGGAACACAUCGAGGUACAUGAUAAACAAAAUAUGUUCUUGUUUAAGUAGAAACCGAUCAUCCACACAUGGAUGACAACUAGAUAGCAAACUAGAUAUUAAACUAGAAAUUAACAGACCAUUAUUGUUCAUAGUAUGCAUCACGCAAUGCACAUAAGUUAACC